Molecule: ribosomal RNA, 471 nt
Filed under: uncultured bacterium
Lineage: Bacteria
Description: bacterial SSU rRNA
Rfam family: Bacterial small subunit ribosomal RNA
Source: RNAcentral
ACUCCUACGGGAGGCAGCAGUGGGGAAUAUUGCACAAUGGGCGCAAGCCUGAUGCAGCCAUGCCGCGUGUAUGAAGAAGGCCUUCGGGUUGUAAAGUACUUUCAGCAGUGAGGAAGGUGGAUAUGUUAAUAGCAUAUUCAUUUGACGUUAGCUGCAGAAGAAGCACCGGCUAACUCCGUGCCAGCAGCCGCGGUAAUACGGAGGGUGCGAGCGUUAAUCGGAAUUACUGGGCGUAAAGCGCAUGCAGGUGGUUUGUUAAGUCAGAUGUGAAAGCCCGGGGCUCAACCUCGGAAUUGCAUUUGAAACUGGCAAACUAGAGUACUGUAGAGGGGGGUAGAAUUUCAGGUGUAGCGGUGAAAUGCGUAGAGAUCUGAAGGAAUACCGGUGGCGAAGGCGGCCCCCUGGACAGAUACUGACACUCAGAUGCGAAAGCGUGGGGAGCAAACAGGAUUAGAUACCCUGGUCGGCUCU